Molecule: ribosomal RNA, 207 nt
Filed under: uncultured bacterium
Lineage: Bacteria
Description: partial 16S ribosomal RNA
Rfam family: Bacterial small subunit ribosomal RNA
Source: RNAcentral
CUCGUAGGCGGCCAACUAAGUCAGACGUGAAAUCCCUCGGCUUAACCGGGGAACUGCAUCUGAUACUGGAUGGCUUGAGAUCGGGAGAGGGAUGCGGAAUUCCAGGUGUAGCGGUGAAAUGCGUAGAUAUCUGGAGGAACACCGGUGGCGAAGGCGGCAUCCUGGACCGACACUGACGCUGAGGAGCGAAAGCCAGGGGAGCAAACG